ACAGCCAGCUCUGUAGACCAGGC
This 23-nucleotide non-coding RNA is filed under the name Cricetulus griseus (Chinese hamster). Lineage: Eukaryota; Metazoa; Chordata; Mammalia; Rodentia; Cricetidae. The record is from RNAcentral.